UUUCCGUAGGUGAACCUGCGGAAGGAUCAUUAUUGAAUAAACCUGAUGUGACUGUUAGCUGGCUUUUCGAAGCAUGUGCUCGUCCGUCAUCUUUAAUCUCUCCACCUGUGCACAUUUUGUAGACUUGGAUACCUCUCGAGGCAACUCGGAUUUUAGGAUCGCCGUGCUGCACAAGUCGGCUUUCCUUUCAUUUCCAAGACUAUGUUUUUAUAUACACCAAAGUAUGUUUAAAGAAUGUCAUCAAUAGGAACUUGUUUCCUAUAAAAUAAUACAACUUUCAACAACGGAUCUCUUGGCUCUC
Molecule: unclassified non-coding RNA, 301 nt
Filed under: plant metagenome
Description: partial contains small subunit ribosomal RNA, internal transcribed spacer 1, and 5.8S ribosomal RNA
Source: RNAcentral